UCCCUGGUGGCUCAGAUGGUAUAGAAUCUGACUGCAAUUCAGGAGGACCCAGGUGCAGUCCCUGGGUGGGGAA
This 73-nucleotide transfer RNA is filed under the name Ovis aries (sheep). It matches the Rfam family "tRNA". Rfam says of the family: Transfer RNA (tRNA) molecules are approximately 80 nucleotides in length. Their secondary structure includes four short double-helical elements and three loops (D, anti-codon, and T loops). The record is from Rfam by way of RNAcentral. Lineage: Eukaryota; Metazoa; Chordata; Mammalia; Artiodactyla; Bovidae.